RNAcentral lists this long non-coding RNA (5690 nucleotides) under Sus scrofa (pig). RNAcentral describes it as "lncRNA (ENSSSCG00050040119.1)". The record is from RNAcentral. Lineage: Eukaryota; Metazoa; Chordata; Mammalia; Artiodactyla; Suidae.
CCUGGGCCAUCUUAAUUUCCAAUGGAGAGAUUAAUGACAUACAACUGUUCAGAAAUCAGAACUUGAAAGAAUUUCAUACAAGGCUCACAUCACAAGUUACAUAAAUCUUUUGACAACAGUAUUUUGAUGGAAGGCAGGUCUAAACAACAGAGAACUAAAUUUAGCAUUCAGGGUGAAAGAUGACUUUGCCAGAAAUAGCCACAAAAGGAAUUGAGAAAAAGUGUGUGUUUGUUAUUGUUGUGGCUGCUUUUUCUUUAUUUGUCAGAAUUAUCUGAAUUCCUGUCUCCGUUUUGUUUCAAUUUGUUUGUAUGGUUUUUGCUAACAUUUUGGUAGCACUGAUUCCUACAAACUAUUUUUGACCCUCAAAAUUUUCUUUAGUAUUUGAACUCUACCUUGUGUCCCCAAUGAGUUUAUCUUAGCAGAGCAAUUCCUUUAAAAUUAUACCUCGGGUCUUCACCUUCCAGUGAAGGAAGGCACUAGCUCCUAUCACAGGGCCCAGCUUCAUGAAUAAUCUUGUCAUCUUCUAUAAUUUCUUCUGAAAGCUUCCAUUUUUGGACAGAGAUGGGGAACCUCUUUACUCUUUCAACGGCAUCCAAAGACAGUUCCUGGCAGCUACAAUGGGAAAAGUCCACUUGAGGGUGUUCCUACAAAGUAUAUAAGCAGCCUUUUCGAAAGAAAAAAAUAAUGGUGGGGCUCACCUGGCCACUGGUAACCUUGUCUUUACACCUAGCGCCAUAUCUAAUUACCUGGGCUUCCUUCUGUGGAUGGAGAAACAAGGCAAAGGAUGGCCACUGGAAUUUCACACAGUCCCCCUCAGGAGGAUGGGUAAGAAUGAGAAACAAAGGGAGGGCUCCUUUCAAAUGAGCUUACUGCCCAUUCACCCAUCUAACACUGACAGCUAUUUCUUCCAGGCAUUGUUUCCCACAGAGGCAGUUAAAAUUUGAAAUGGUGGUAGACUAUCCUUCCUGCUCUGUUCAAGAUCCACUGGUAACUUCAGUAACAAAAACCAAAGGAAGGGAUUCAUUCUGCCAUUUUGACAAUGAAGAGAGGAAUUCCUGAGUUUCUCUGGUCCCACGUCAUUCAUAUAUAUAUACAUAUAUACAUAUAUAUAUGUGUAUAUAUAUAUAUAUUUUUUUUGGGGGGGGGAGUCAUCUUUUUAGGGCUGUACCCUCAGCAUAUGGAACUUCCCAGGCUAGGGGUCCUAUCAGAACUGCAGCUGCCGGCCUAAACCACAGCCACAGCAACGCCAGAUCCAAGCCAUGUCUGCAACCUACACCACAGCUCAUGGCAACACCUGAUCCUUAACCCACAGAGCAAGGCCAGGGAUCAAACCCGUGUCCUCAUGGACAUUAGUUGGGUUCAUCACUGCUGAGCCAUGAUGGGAACUUCCUGUAUCAUAAUUAAUCUUUUACCUCCUUCAAUGGCUCAUUGAAGCUCCCUAUCCUUUCUAUUUCUCUUACCACCUUAAGAGUUACAGAAUAUUUUCUCUUCCUUUUACAUUAUUAAUGUGAAACAUGUACCACUAUCUUUUGGGCAAAAAUGUCUAACACCUUACACCAAAUGUCAAAGAGGCUAUAUAAAAUAAACACACCACUUAUCCAUUCUCUUCAAAUAAUAUAUCUUUGAAUUCCAUAUGUAGUUUUAUCUUUUUAAAGUGUCUUUCUCUACAGACUACUUCUAAUCUGCCCUACUCAUAGAAAACGAUAGCCACACCUCAAAACUCUAGCAACCAAAGCUCUCCCUACACUGAUUUGCAGACAAUAAAAGUGCCAGGUGGUACCAAAAAAAUAAAAAAAGAAAGAAAGAAAAGAAAAAAAGUCCAUCAUUAAAUGGAAUGUUGUUAAAAAAUAGCUGUUUUAUUUAACAGCUAUUCAUUUUUAUUGAAUAAACAUUUUCUAGUAUGCAUUCUGUUAAUUGACCUGACAGCAUAUGCUGUAUAUGGAGAAACUUCUAAACAUUAUGCUCUAUGUAAUAUGCUUAUCUGAAAAAGCUCUCAUUUGCAGCAAUAUGGAAAUAAAAUUCUGCUUUCUAAAAUUCAAGACUUUUAAAAUGCAUUAAUCCACACACUUUAAAAAAUUGCUCUGGACAUUUUAAAAUCCUUUCUUUAAGGGGAAAAAAAACCACUUUAGUAAUUGGUAAUAGUAUUUGUUGCUGAGUUUCAUAAUGGAGGAGUCCAUAUCCAGCACAGAACUUUUACAGACCUAGAAAUGGGGUGGGCAUAAUAGGAAAUAAAAAGCAGUUAUGGUAUUGGGUAGAGAAUUAUUCAAUGGCUCAAGGAGCAUGUUGGGAAACUCUAUCAAAUUAUAGUAUUAGAAAACUAUUGUUAUAAUCGUUUCAUGGCUCAGAUGCAAGUAGAGUUGAAACAUUACAGAGAUAAUAUAUUUAGUUUUGAGAGAGGAAGACGGCUUGUGAGUGUGUGGCUGGGCUCCUCCAGCUAAUGGUAGCACCUCUCCUAGGCUGAUGGCUUCUGAGUGAUGAUGGCAACUUGCAGACCAAAAUCACCAACUCUGCGGCCUAGAGGGCACAAGUGAGCCAACGUAGUGGAUGGGAACUGGGGCUGGAGAGCUUCAGACUCCCUGACACAGCAGCAGUUCAUCUCCCCAGAUUGUUACCCGGGUAGGAGUAUCCGGCCCUGGUUACCAGAUCUGCUGAUUUUUCAAGAGAAUAUGGAAAAGCCAGAUUUUGCCCUUUUUUUUUUUCCGAGGUUAUCAACCACGUCAUUUAAAAAAACAACAAUUCUGUUUGGACCCAAUUUGGCCAAUCUAUAGACCAAACCCAGCACAGAAGUCACUCACUCCACCACGCAUCUUCACAAAAGCUCUUCAUCCUAAAAAGGCCCUUGGUCUCAUUUGUAGUUAUCUUCAGUAAUAUGAAUCAAACAUGAAAAGGUUUGCAUUUAUUUACCUUAAAUCCUGGCACUAGGUAAAAAUUCUCUAUCGUCCAUGAUUGUACUGGUGCAACUGGAAAAUCCUAGAAUGUUCAGUUUCAUACACAGCAUAAUUAACUCAUUUUUAUACCAAGCCCUUUUAAGCCAGAUCUUUUUGUUCCAUGGACUUCUAACAUAUUUUACAGUUCUAAUUCUCUUCCACUGUCCUACAUUAAUCAAAGCUGUAACCCCUGUUGUCUUUGUACUACAGAAUCAGAAUGUGCCCCUGGCGAGGAAUGGGGGAAAAGUCAACAGGAAUUAAAUUUCAGUGCAACUGUUUACUCAACUGUGGCCUGCAGUUAUUGAAAUUUUAUCCGUGGUUUUGUGUGACUACCGCAGUAAUGAAUUCAGCAUGGCUGUGAUUUUCUCACUGCUGGUAUUCUCACUUCAAGUAAAAACCUGUAGAAUACAAAUGACGAAAACAACCCACGUCCAUCACGGUGACACUCAGAUUUCUCCAAACUGUUUAAUUGUUGCAGUUUUCAGUCUGGAAGAAAACUGAUCACACGAGUCCUGUAAAACUUUUUUGAUACUUAAAAAGUUUUUUUUCUUAUUUCAUCUACAGAUUUUCUCCCCCCGCCCCAACAACCUGUUAAGAGCCUCCAUCGUACACUUAGGGAAGUCACACAGCUGUCAGUAUUUUAUUUUAAAAGACCGAAAAGGCUGGCCAACCACAGUAUGUGGGGUUUUAGCCACAAUGAUAGAGCCAACUGCUUUCUUCCUUCCCAGAACAUAUGAGUGGCAAAUAGGUAUAUAAUUGUUAUAAAAAAAUAUUAAUAGCACUUUGAAGCACAAUCAAAAGGUAUAGACUUUUAUAUUAAUAACUCAUAACAAGAUAUUUUCCAUAGUGGGUAUAGCCAAGAUAAAGUUACUGAUGGUUUUCAAGGAAGAUGCUGUUAAAAGGCUCUCAAAUAACCUUCUUCUGGGAGGUCAGCUUGUGGUUUCUGUUAGUGGGCUAGGGGUGUGUGUAUGUGUCUCUGUGUGUAUGUCUCUCUGUAUGCGUAUCUGUGUGUAUGUUGAGAGUAUAUAAAGUUUUUGGCAGACUUACAACUUUGAGACAGCAAAUGGUUUUUAUUUCUUCAAAUAAAACUCAGAAGUUCAUUUCCUAUUUAUCUGAUUAACAUACUCUAAAUACUAAUUACUCAGGGUGCAUACCCCAUUAGUCAACAGCCUCCCCUCAGCUGCUCCAUCAAGAAACAGUUGAUCUUGGCCUCUCUAUGGUAAGGGCAUAGAAAAUGGCAAAUCCAAUUACCAACUACUUAUUCCCAAAAUAACCAUAACUAUCUGAGAAUAUCACAUGAACAAACACACACACACAUAUAAAUAUAUAUACAUACACAUACACAUACAUAUACCUUUCUACCACUUACUGACAGGCUUUGUCAACACUCUCACUGGGUAGAAUUUGGCCAUUUGUACUAAUGCAAAUACCCCAAGUUUAUACACAACAGAGAUCAUAAAUCUCAGCCGAUAUGAUGUGUACCAGGGAGCAGGCGCAGUCAAGUUUGAGCUGCCACUGAGAGAGAGAUUAAAUUGCUGCAAGUCCUCCGAAUUAAGAUCUUAGCUUGUCUGUUCGUUUCCUUCUCUUUCUCUCUGUUGUAUCUUUCCCGGACAGAUUCCACUGCCUCGUGCUGGUUCCACCAACCUCUGAUCAGCUAACAAUGUGAUGAUUCCUUAUUUGUAAAAAUUCUCAGCAAGGAGAAAACCAAGCAUGCUUUAGACCCUGGUAAAAGCCAUAUGCCUAAGACACGAAAGGAUGGCCUUUGCUUCUCUGAUAGAGAGUCCAAGAAAAUGGUUGGAGAGGUUUGCCUUUUUCUUCCUGUUCUCUCAUCCCCCAACAAUUUGUUUCAUUCAGAAAGGCCUCAAGAUGCAUCAUUCUUUUUUUCACCUUUUUCCAAAUGGCACCAUUACUUUGUAUUGAAUCAAGGAAUCAAACACUAACAUGCAACAAAAGUCAACCAGUAUCAUAGACAAAAGCAAACAGUAUUUCCUCAUUCCAAGAACGGCUGAGAAAACAAUGCCUAUCUUCAAACAAAUGUCAUUACUUAUUGGAAUCUGCAUCAACACUCUGGCCACACAACACCACCUUCUAGGUCACACCCUUUACCAUCUGGAAGUAUUUUACCAGUCACUGCCAGGUACCCACUUAAAUGCCUAGAAAGGAUAUAAGAGGAAGGAAUAUGUCUCAACUUAUGUGUAUUUUGGGGAGCCACCAAUAAGACACAUUAAUAGGAUUUAGCCACAUACCAACUGCCAUAGGUAUAUAAGAAACAUCUGUAAGUGGCUCAUCUCCCCAAAUUUCUCCAGGUAGCAGCAAACAAUUUCUUACACUGAGGCCUGUGUUACUGAUGUCUUGUUACCUACCCAAUUCUGCUUGGGUAUUUCUAUUUAUUUAUAUUCCCCUUAUUCGCCUACUUCUAUCUUAUAGUUUUAUUUCUCUUUCAUCCUUGAUCCCUUAUUUUGUUUCCUUCUUUUUUUUUUUUUGUCUUUUCUAGGGCCACACCCGCAGCAUAUGGAGGUUCCCAGGCUAGGCGUCUAUCGGAGCUGUAUACCAGAGCCAUAGCAACGCCAGAUCCGAGCCGCGUCUGCAACCCACACCACAGCUCAUGGCAAUGCCGGAUCCUUAACCCACUGAGCCAGGCCAGGGAUCGAACCUGCCACCUCAUGGUUCCUAGUUGGAUUCUUUAACCACUGAGCCAUGACAGGAACUUCUGUUUCCUUCUACUUGAUACGCCUUUUUUUUUUUUUUUUUAAUUCAAACACU